This 68-nucleotide transfer RNA is filed under the name Nothobranchius nubaensis. RNAcentral describes it as "tRNA-Asp". Lineage: Eukaryota; Metazoa; Chordata; Actinopteri; Cyprinodontiformes; Nothobranchiidae. The record is from RNAcentral.
AAGACUCUAGUAAAAUAUUACGCUGUCUUGUCAGGACAAAAUUGUGGGUUAAACCCCUGCGAGUCUUA